Molecule: ribosomal RNA, 450 nt
Filed under: uncultured bacterium
Lineage: Bacteria
Description: bacterial SSU rRNA
Rfam family: Bacterial small subunit ribosomal RNA
Source: RNAcentral
GUGGGGAAUAUUGGACAAUGGGCGAAAGCCUGAUCCAGCCAUGCCGCGUGUGUGAAGAAGGUCUUCGGAUUGUAAAGCACUUUAAGUUGGGAGGAAGGGCAGUAAGCUAAUAUCUUGCUGUUUUGACGUUACCGACAGAAUAAGCACCGGCUAACUUCGUGCCAGCAGCCGCGGUAAUACGAAGGGUGCAAGCGUUAAUCGGAAUUACUGGGCGUAAAGCGCGCGUAGGUGGUUUGUUAAGUUGGAAGUGAAAGCCCCGGGCUCAACCUGGGAACUGCUUUCAAAACUGGCAAGCUAGAGUAUGGCAGAGGGUGGUGGAAUUUCCUGUGUAGCGGUGAAAUGCGUAGAUAUAGGAAGGAACACCAGUGGCGAAGGCGACCACCUGGGCUAAUACUGACACUGAGGUGCGAAAGCGUGGGGAGCAAACAGGAUUAGAAACCCGUGUAGUCC